UUGGCUGUUGUUCGGUUUGCUGAAUGAGCUGGCUGUCAAAUGUCCUCUAGCCAAUAGAAUACUAGAUAAAUGCUGACCGAGCAAAU
This is a long non-coding RNA of Melanotaenia boesemani (Boeseman's rainbowfish), 86 nucleotides long. RefSeq lists it as uncharacterized. NCBI's taxonomy places the organism in Eukaryota, Metazoa, Chordata, Actinopteri, Atheriniformes, Melanotaeniidae. The record is from RefSeq and is a predicted model, not a curated record. The transcript is spliced from 3 exons.